UGGGAGAAUUAUUUUACGUUC
Molecule: non-coding RNA, 21 nt
Organism: Caenorhabditis elegans
Lineage: Eukaryota; Metazoa; Nematoda; Chromadorea; Rhabditida; Rhabditidae
Source: Ensembl